RNAcentral lists this transfer RNA (58 nucleotides) under Loxodonta africana (African savanna elephant). It matches the Rfam family "tRNA", at positions 8 to 63 of the family's 71-position model. Rfam says of the family: Transfer RNA (tRNA) molecules are approximately 80 nucleotides in length. Lineage: Eukaryota; Metazoa; Chordata; Mammalia; Proboscidea; Elephantidae. The record is from Rfam by way of RNAcentral.
UAGCUUAGUCGGUAGAGCAUGAGACUCUUAAUCUCAGGAUUGUGGGUUUGAGCCCCAC